Molecule: long non-coding RNA, 802 nt
Filed under: Prunus persica (peach)
Lineage: Eukaryota; Viridiplantae; Streptophyta; Magnoliopsida; Rosales; Rosaceae
Description: long non-coding RNA (PPER_LNC001138)
Source: RNAcentral
CUACAUGUGAUUGCGCACAAAUUCUACCACAUCCAUAGAUGAUACCUGAAUUACACGGUUCCUAAUAUCAACCUUUUCUCUUUCCUUUCUUGUUCUGUACUCAACAUAUAGCAAAGCCUUUCUUCCUCCCUUUAAUCGUUAUAGUCCAAUGCCCCUUCUCCUGUAUCUUUUCCAAAAUCUCAGUCUUUUCGGCAGCUUUUUCCCUCUCUUUCAAUGCCUUCCCUGCUCCAUAAAAAAAGAAGAAGCACCCAAUAACAAAAUUACUUAAGUGAAUAAAAUGAAAUUACCUUGUGAAAAAAAUUAAUCAAAGAACCUGUUAAUUUGUUUUCAAGAUCCUACAGGAAAACAAGAUUAGGAUCAAUACAUAGCACAUCUUUCUAAUUAGAAAUUGUUUGAGUAAUGAACAAACAGGAUUCAAAUCUCUCUUACUUCUUCCCAAAAGACCAAGAAAUGAAAAAAAAAAUUUCCAAGAAAAGAACUAAUAUUAUUAUAACCGAACGCUGACCUUGGCAUCAGCAGCCAAGGUAUUAAACAACCAUUCAGGAGGAACAAAAUCCCAGUGGUGGAUACCACCGUUUUUACUGAACGUAAUGUAGAAAUUUGAAUUCUAUGAGAACUCAAUUUUCUGGGACUCAAAGUUACUGAAAUGAACUUUUUGCAGAAAAGCAGAGAUUCAGUGACAUACUUAUGUUAGAACACCAAGUUCAAUACAUUCCAGACUUAUAAUACAACAAAUAUUGUACGCUUUCAAUAGAAAAUCCUAAAGCUUAGAGCCAUUACCUUUUUUUUUGUUGCAAUUCCU